CAAGUAAGACAUGCAAUCGCUGCUAGUCUAGAACUAGGAGAGGAAAGUCCGAGCUCCAUAGGGCAGGGUGCUGGAUAACGUCCAGUCAAGGUGACUUGAAGGAAAGUGCAACAGAGAGAUACCGCCUAAGUUUACUUAGGUAAGGGUGGAAAGGCGAGGUAAGAGCUCACCAGCGCGUUGGAGACUUCGCGGCUAUGUAAACCCCACUUGGAGCAAGACCGAAUAGAGAGACUUAUGGGAUUGCCCGUCCCGUCUCCGGGUGUGUCGCUUGAGCCUAUUGGCAACGAUAGGCCUAGAUAGAUGAUUGCUUAAUACAGAACUCGGCUUAUGUGCUUAUCUUGUAUA
Molecule: RNase P RNA, 345 nt
Filed under: Clostridium gasigenes
Lineage: Bacteria; Bacillati; Bacillota; Clostridia; Eubacteriales; Clostridiaceae
Description: Bacterial RNase P class A
Rfam family: Bacterial RNase P class A
About the family: Ribonuclease P (RNase P) is a ubiquitous endoribonuclease, found in archaea, bacteria and eukarya as well as chloroplasts and mitochondria. Its best characterised activity is the generation of mature 5'-ends of tRNAs by cleaving the 5'-leader elements of precursor-tRNAs.
Source: Rfam by way of RNAcentral